Molecule: unclassified non-coding RNA, 213 nt
Filed under: Ascomycota sp.
Lineage: Eukaryota; Fungi; Ascomycota
Description: partial contains small subunit ribosomal RNA, internal transcribed spacer 1, and 5.8S ribosomal RNA
Rfam family: Eukaryotic small subunit ribosomal RNA (bases 1-47)
Source: RNAcentral
AAAGUCGUAACAAGGUUUCCGUAGGUGAACCUGCGGAAGGAUCAUUACCGUGGGCUGGAAACAGCCCAUUGAGAUAGCACCCUUUGUUUAUGAGCACCGUUGUUUCCUCGGCGGGCUUGCCCGCCGUUAGGACAUUGAAAACCCCUUUGCAGUAGCAGUACCUUCAGUUAAAAAUAAAUAUUAAAACUUUCAACAACGGAUCUCUUGGUUCUG